This 717-nucleotide ribosomal RNA is filed under the name uncultured bacterium. RNAcentral describes it as "bacterial SSU rRNA". It matches the Rfam family "Bacterial small subunit ribosomal RNA", at positions 8 to 770 of the family's 1533-position model. The record is from RNAcentral.
AGAGUUUGAUCCUGGCUCAGAGCGAACGCUGGCGGCAGGCUUAACACAUGCAAGUCGAGCGGGCGUAGCAAUACGUCAGCGGCAGACGAGUGAGUAACGCGUGAGAACGUACCUUUUGGUUCGAACAACACAGGGAAACUUGUGCUAAUACCGGAUAAGCCCUUACAGGGAAAGAUUUAUCGCCGAAAGAUCGGCCCGCGUCUGAUUAGCUAGUUGGUGAGGUAACGGCUCACCAAGGCGACGAUCAGUAGCUGGUCUGAGAGGACGAUCAGCCACAUUGGGACUGAGACACGGCCCAAACUCCUACGGGAGGCAGCAGUGGGGAAUAUUGGACAAUGGGCGCAAGCCUGAUCCAGCCAUGCCGCGUGAGUGAUGAAGGCCCUAGGGUUGUAAAGCUCUUUUGUGCGGGAAGAUAAUGACGGUACCGCAAGAAUAAGCCCCGGCUAACUUCGUGCCAGCAGCCGCGGUAAUACGAAGGGGGCUAGCGUUGCUCGGAAUCACUGGGCGUAAAGGGUGCGUAGGCGGGUCUUUAAGUCAGGGGUGAAAUCCUGGAGCUCAACUCCAGAACUGCCUUUGAUACUGAGGAUCUUGAGUUCGGGAGAGGUGAGUGGAACUGCGAGUGUAGAGGUGAAAUUCGUAGAUAUUCGCAAGAACACCAGUGGCGAAGGCGGCUCACUGGCCCGAUACUGACGCUGAGGCACGAAAGCGUGGGGAGCA